UGCGUAGGCGGGUCUUUAAGUCAGGGGUGAAAUCCUGGAGCUCAACUCCAGAACUGCCUUUGAUACUGAAGAUCUUGAGUUCGGGAGAGGUGAGUGGAACUGCGAGUGUAGAGGUGAAACUCGUAGAUAUUCGCAAGAACACCAGUGGCGAAGGCGGCUCACUGGCCCGAUACUGACGCUGAGGCAAGACUGGGGAGGCAAACA
This 204-nucleotide ribosomal RNA is filed under the name uncultured bacterium. Its description in RNAcentral is "partial 16S ribosomal RNA". It matches the Rfam family "Bacterial small subunit ribosomal RNA", at positions 568 to 774 of the family's 1533-position model. The record is from RNAcentral.